AUUAGCUAGUUGGUGAGGUAACGGCUCACCAAGGCUCCGAUCGGUAUCCGGCCUGAGAGGGCGAACGGACACACUGAGACUGAGACACGGCCCAGACUCCUACGGGAGGCAGCAGUGGGGAAUUGUUCGCAAUGGGCGCAAGCCUGACGACGCAACGCCGCGUGGAGGAUGAAGACUUUCGGGUCGUAAACGGCUAACUCCGUGCCAGCAGCCGCGGUAAUACGGGGGGGGCAAGCGUUGUUCAGAAUUACUGGGCGUAAAGGGCUCGUAGGCGGCCAACUAAGUCAGACGUGAAAUCCCUCAGCUUAACUGGGGAACUGCGUCUGAUACUGGAUGGCUUGGACUCGGGAGAGGGAUGCGGAAUUCCAGGUGUAGCGGUGAAAUGCGUAGAUAUCUGGAGGAACACCGGUGGCGAAGGCGGCAUCCUGGACCGAGAUUGACGCUGAGGAGCGAAAGCUAGGGGAGCAAA
This 469-nucleotide ribosomal RNA is filed under the name uncultured bacterium. Its description in RNAcentral is "bacterial SSU rRNA". It matches the Rfam family "Bacterial small subunit ribosomal RNA", at positions 240 to 772 of the family's 1533-position model. The record is from RNAcentral.